UACGUAGGGACCAAGCGUUGUUCGGAUUUACUGGGCGUAAAGGGCGCGUAGGCGGCGUGACAAGUCACUUGUGAAAUCUCCGGGCUUAACUCGGAACGGCCAAGUGAAACUGUCAUGCUAGAGUGCAGAAGGGGCAAUCGGAAUUCUCGGUGUAGCGGUGAAAUGCGUAGAUAUGCGGAGGAACACCGAUGGCGAAGGCAAUCCCCUGGGCCUGCACUGACGCUCAUGCACGAAAGCGUGGGGAGCAAACAGG
This 253-nucleotide ribosomal RNA is filed under the name uncultured bacterium. RNAcentral describes it as "partial 16S ribosomal RNA". It matches the Rfam family "Bacterial small subunit ribosomal RNA", at positions 524 to 776 of the family's 1533-position model. The record is from RNAcentral.